UGGUGAUGAUGAAGAGACAACACCAACAACAACAAAU
RNAcentral lists this small RNA (37 nucleotides) under Arabidopsis thaliana (thale cress). RNAcentral's name for it is "ATSL178690". The record is from RNAcentral. Lineage: Eukaryota; Viridiplantae; Streptophyta; Magnoliopsida; Brassicales; Brassicaceae.